CUGCAAUGCAUAAAUUGAGCAUUGUCCUUCACCACCUUUUCGUAUUAGCAGAUAUCUGAAGUUUCACUAGGACUCCUGAUAGGCCAGAGCCUGUUUGGCUCUAGCAGCCUUGAGUGCCGUGCAAAGACACCUUGAGUGCCGUGCAAAGACACCUUGAGUGCCGUGCAUGGCACUAGUGCUGUAGGUUGCCUACCUCUGGUAUAGUGGUUUUAAUGCAUAGAUGCAGUCCAUUUUCUUGGACAAUGUUAAACAUUACCGUUUCUUACAUAUGGCAAUGUUUACAUUUGGCCAAAAAAUACUUCUAGA
Molecule: non-coding RNA, 306 nt
Organism: Pelobates cultripes (western spadefoot toad)
Lineage: Eukaryota; Metazoa; Chordata; Amphibia; Anura; Pelobatidae
Source: the annotation of a GenBank genome assembly